This is a long non-coding RNA of Triticum dicoccoides, 815 nucleotides long. RefSeq lists it as uncharacterized. The transcript has 2 exons. Lineage: Eukaryota; Viridiplantae; Streptophyta; Magnoliopsida; Poales; Poaceae. The record is from RefSeq and is a predicted model, not a curated record.
GGGUUCGCUCCCGCUGAUCCCUCAUGCCCGUCCUAGAAGACGACGGAUAAAGAAGGAAGGGGCUGGACGCUGAUGCCUCAUGAUUCUAGUAUGUAUGUAUGUAAUUCAUUCUUAUCCCCAAGUACUGCUAUUCAUAGUAAGAGAUGGAUGAAAAUAUAAACACAGGCUAACAUAGUAAAUGAAAACCUGGAUGUACUAUUAUUCUAAAGUUCUGUAAUACUUGUUGCCUAUUCUCUUUUAAAUCAAUCUUUCCCUUUUGUCAUUAAAGAAAAUGUUAGCUCAAUCUUUCACUAUUCAGUGGUAUGUUGCAGAAUAACAUUUGUGUUUCAAGUGCCAUAAUUCGUUUCAUUAUUUUGAAACUCACCAAAUUUCUUUUACUACAAGCUGCAAGAGGUUAGGGGAGAGGCAUGCGGUGGUGGUGCACAAGCACAAGCACAUGUUGCAGAUGAUAGUGUUUUUAGAGACAAAGGUGACUGCUGAUGGGACGUCUCACAGAUGAUGCUAUCAAUGGGUUAUGGUGAUGCACUUUUUUUUGGAAGUCGUAUGCUCUAAACUGGAGUGAUUCUAAAGAAGCAAGCAACUACUCCCUCCGUUCCUAAAUAAUUUUCUUUCUAGACAUUUCAAAUGGCUACCACAUACAGAUAUAUGUAGACAUAUUUUAAAGUGUAGAUUCACUCAUUUUGCUCUGUAUGUAGUCAUUUGUUUAAAUAUCUAGAAAGACAAAUAUUUAGGAACGGAGGGAGUAGAACAAUUUCCAUUAUGUAAUGCUAAAAGUUUACUUCUGGGCCAUAGUUUACUUCAGUUCAGUUGAUCUC